ACGUAGGGUGCAAGCGUUAAUCGGAAUUACUGGGCGUAAAGCGUGCGCAGGCGGUUCGGAAAGAAGGAUGUGAAAUCCCAGGGCUCAACCUUGGAAAUGCAUUGUUAACUACUGAGCUAGAGUAUGGGAGAGGGAGGUAGAAUUCCUGGUGUAGCGGUGAAAUGCGUUGAUAUGAGGAGGAACACCGGAGGCGAAGUGUACCUACCGGAAUUAUACUGAUGCUGAGACGCGAGAGCGUGGGGAGCCAAGAG
RNAcentral lists this ribosomal RNA (251 nucleotides) under uncultured prokaryote. RNAcentral's name for it is "partial 16S rRNA". It matches the Rfam family "Bacterial small subunit ribosomal RNA", at positions 525 to 775 of the family's 1533-position model. The record is from RNAcentral.